AUGUGGUUUAAUUCGAAGCAACGCGAAGACUUACCUGGCCUUGACAUGCUGAGAACUUUCCAGAGAUGGAUUGGUGCCUUUCGGGAACUCAGACACAGGUGCUGCAUGGCUGUCGUCAGCUCGUGUCGUGAGGUGUUGGGUUAAGUCCCGCAACGAGCGCAACCCUUGUCCUUAGUUACCAGCGGGUUAUGCCGGGAACUCUAAGGAGACUGCCGGUGACAAACCGGAGGAAGGUGGGGAUGACGUCAAGUCAUCAUGGCCCUUACGGCCAGGGCUACACACGUGCUACAAUGGUCGGUACAAAGGGUUGCCAAGCCGCGAGGUGGAGCUAAUCCCAUAAAACCGAUCGUAGUCCGGAUCGCAGUCUGCAACUCGACUGCGUGAAGUCGGAAUCGCUAGUAAUCGUGAAUCAGAAUGUCACGGUGAAUACGUUCCCGGGCCUU
RNAcentral lists this ribosomal RNA (443 nucleotides) under uncultured Pseudomonas sp. RNAcentral's name for it is "bacterial SSU rRNA". It matches the Rfam family "Bacterial small subunit ribosomal RNA", at positions 939 to 1382 of the family's 1533-position model. Lineage: Bacteria; Pseudomonadati; Pseudomonadota; Gammaproteobacteria; Pseudomonadales; Pseudomonadaceae. The record is from RNAcentral.